Molecule: long non-coding RNA, 3282 nt
Filed under: Ananas comosus (pineapple)
Lineage: Eukaryota; Viridiplantae; Streptophyta; Magnoliopsida; Poales; Bromeliaceae
Description: long non-coding RNA (ACOM_LNC023366)
Source: RNAcentral
CCACCUUUACUUGAUACCGGAAUACGAGACUCCACUUCCUGCACUUUUCCAAUGACCGCAAUCCGUGCUCGCGACAACUUAAGCUCAAAAGAGGUUUCCUUCGCUAGCUCGCCGUAGGCUCGUCGGAACGUCGAUUCGAGCUUUCCAACGCGUUCGCUUUACCCUCAGUUAGGUUUGUACACGAUCAACUUUAAGCUAGGCUUUUGAACCUGCAAGUUAGCAUUAUUGAGCUUAGGGUUCUAUAUAAACUUUCCUCUAGUUUUCAUGGCAGCACACUCUUUAGUAUUCACUAAACUCAAGCCUUAACCAGGAAUUAUAGGUUAAUUCACCUUAAUUCCCCAAAGACCUGCAAUUAGGGAAUUGAAGAAAUUUACAUCAAUCCCUAAUCAAAAUCUUGCAUAAGAGUUAAUUUUGACUCCUAGCUGCCAAAGUCAGUACAUACUACAUAUAGCUUUAGUUCUAGGUUUCCAUGACACAAUACUAUAGUAGCCCAAUAACUAAAGCUAAACUCUCUUUUAGAUUAACUAAAUCAACCUUAUCAAAGGAAUAUAUCAAUUCUACUAAAAUCUGCAUGAUACUUCCUUAAUUCCCAAUUAUCAAAGUGUACCUAUAGUAUUAGUACACCUGAAGCCUUUUCCAGGUUAUAUAGCAAAAGCCAAUUUCAGAUUUUCAGAAUUCCAAUAAUUCUAGAACACUAUUUCGCAACUUACCAUUAGGGAAUUGAAGAAAUUCACCUCACUCCUUAAUAUAAAUUAGCUGAAUAUCUUACUUUAAUUCUCAGCAAUUCCAAAUCACACAUAAUACCUGUCACAGCCCGCGACCACUCGCCUAUUUGGCCGAGGUCGCGGCGCCGACAGCGCCGAACGGACAAGGUUUCCCUUGUACUGCGGACAGAGUCUCCCCUGUACGUUCAAGGCAUCGCAAUCAAUACAAUACGAAUGUUCCAACCAGGAACUGAUAUCAAUCAAGAUUGCAUAAUGGAAGGUAUCAAACAACAUAAACACAUCCUAUGUUAUUGCUUGGAUCACAUUAAUUGUAUCCAGCUUAUACUUGGAUCCUAACUCUUGGAUCCUACUUAUUCUAACUACAACUUGGAUCACAGCACUUGGAUCCGAUCUAGCUCACCGUAAUUGGAUCGCAAUACUUGUAUCCAACUGUAACUAAGAUCACAACAACUUGGAUCCCAAUUAUUUUUGGAUCCAUCUCUCCAUAAUUGGAUCAAAUUUCUUGUAACCAAUACAUUAUUCCCGCAAUUUGGAUCUCAGCCCAUCUGGAUCCUACCUUUCACGUAACCUGGAUCUAUCCAGCUAUAGUAUCCCAAACUCUAAUGGGAUCUCCGAACCCUUUAUCUAAGGCCUUAGAAUCCUAACACUUGAGCUGUCAAGAUCUCGUCACCCAACUCACACUGUCCAAGGGGAGGGUGACCUGCUUGAAGCUCCUACUCGACAACUGACUUAGCUCCGGCGCCCAGCUCACACCGUCCAAGGGGGAGGGCGGCCGUCUUAGCACGAAGCGAUCCCAACUCACACCGUACAAGGGGAAGGGAUAGCCCCCAGAACCCGGCGCCCAACUCAAACACCGUAUUAGGGGAAGGGUGGCCUUUCUAGGGACUGGUGCCCACAUGCGUCGAGACCCGCUGGGCAACCCGCUGAACUAAUACCUAACUUCCGAUUCCACAUUCACUCUCCAGGAAGUGGAACUCGGCCUGUCUCGCGCCUGAUAGGCGUCUACUAACUGAGUUCUGGCUCAGCCCACCGUAUCACACUAAUUCCAUUCUCGUUGGAAUUCUUUCUUAAACGGUUACUCAUAUCACCCGGGUUCACAUUCCACAUCUCGUGGUUCAUGUUCAUGUUUCUUAUUUCUCGUUUCUUCCUUUUUCUUUUACUUUCUAUUACUUUUCCGAUUACGAUUCCUUAUCGAUCAUUAACGUCCUUUACUUACCAUCGUUUAUCGAUUUUACAUUUCUGUUCGUUUCUCGAAAAACUAUCAACGUAUAACGUAAAGCACUCCGUACAAUAGACAAUCAACGUAUAAUUGUAAAACUAUAUAUAGAUAUCUACAAAAACCUGAUUGUACUAACGUCACGGAGGAACCUGGAAAACCAGCUCGAAAAGGGAACCCACCGGCAUGGGUGACCCUUGAUAGAAAUAUAUCAAGAGUGGGGGCACAACGAAACCCCCAUGUCCAAGCGUGCACUCGCCGCGCCGCCGCGCUCCUUUCCCGCAUCGAGGUAUCUAUCGCGGGAUGGGUCUCUGGUCUCGAUCGCCAUGGGGCAGCUGCACCGAUCCCCAUAUCUUUUACUUUUCUUUGUUACAUAGUUAAACAUUUAUUUUAACAUUUUUGAUCUAACGUAAACCUAUUUUUUUUUUCUCUUACAUAUUUCUUGACACUACAUUUUUAGACACUUACACUUACGCACANCACACAUAAUACCAAUAGCUCUUUUAUAGAAUUUUAUGUCAAAUUCAACUCUAGGGUUUAAGAAAUUCAGCUAAUUCUCUUUGUAAAGUAAUUACAAUAGGUUAUAACCAGGAAUUAGCAACCCUUAUUUUAGUUUUCCCACUACUUCACUAGCUGGUUACUUCCAGCACAUCACUCCCUCACAUCCUACCUACAGAGUCAUCCAACUCCAACCUUCAACACUUCAAACCGAGUAGUACUAAGGGAUAUCCUUCGAAUCUGGAUUAAGAGAUUAGCAAAACCUCACCUUAGAUGUAUGCUCUCCAUCAGCUUACCUUGUUCGCGAAUUCCCUAGCAGCCAAGAGCCUCGACUCCACCUUUUUCUUAAUCGCAAUCCCUUACCGUAGUGUAAGGUACCGGACUUCUAAAACUACGAAGUUACGGUAUACAUUUAAAUGGUUCCGGUGAGGUUGCGGUGGAAUGUAACAUAUCGAAUUUUAAAUAUAAAGUGAAAAUAAAUAAAAAUAGUAUGAGAUACUAUUUUUAUUGGGUUUAGAGAAGUGAAAUAUAGAUUAAAAAUGACCUGUGCUGAGAUCAGAGCGAAAACAGAAGAUUUAGAAUUUUCUGUUGGAAACGGGACAGAUAAAUUAGUAGAAAAUGUACAGUCUCAGAAAAUUAUGAAAAUUGGCGGGGAUGUCAGUAAUAUUUAAUGAGACUAAAUUUAAAGUUUCAUAUUUUUCUGACACCCGUAGAGUGAGAAAUAAAAUCCGAAGUCUAUCUGAUAAAGAUUGCAGUUCGGCACAGUUUUCGGUCACCAAACGGGGUCGAAACUGAAAACUUAAGAUAUAUUCUUGUUCAGUACAUUAAACCGAACAUGACUGU